This 1372-nucleotide ribosomal RNA is filed under the name uncultured bacterium. Its description in RNAcentral is "bacterial SSU rRNA". It matches the Rfam family "Bacterial small subunit ribosomal RNA", at positions 28 to 1381 of the family's 1533-position model. The record is from RNAcentral.
GAUGAACGCUGGCGGCGUGCCUAAUACAUGCAAGUCGAGCGAACGGACGAGAAGCUUGCUUCUCUGAUGUUAGCGGCGGACGGGUGAGUAACACGUGGAUAACCUACCUAUAAGACUGGGAUAACUUCGGGAAACCGGAGCUAAUACCGGAUAAUAUUUUGAACCGCAUGGUUCAAAAGUGAAAGACGGUCUUGCUGUCACUUAUAGAUGGAUCCGCGCUGCAUUAGCUAGUUGGUAAGGUAACGGCUUACCAAGGCAACGAUGCAUAGCCGACCUGAGAGGGUGAUCGGCCACACUGGAACUGAGACACGGUCCAGACUCCUACGGGAGGCAGCAGUAGGGAAUCUUCCGCAAUGGGCGAAAGCCUGACGGAGCAACGCCGCGUGAGUGAUGAAGGUCUUCGGAUCGUAAAACUCUGUUAUUAGGGAAGAACAUAUGUGUAAGUAACUGUGCACAUCUUGACGGUACCUAAUCAGAAAGCCACGGCUAACUACGUGCCAGCAGCCGCGGUAAUACGUAGGUGGCAAGCGUUAUCCGGAAUUAUUGGGCGUAAAGCGCGCGUAGGCGGUUUUUUAAGUCUGAUGUGAAAGCCCACGGCUCAACCGUGGAGGGUCAUUGGAAACUGGAAAACUUGAGUGCAGAAGAGGGAAGUGGAAUUCCAUGUGUAGCGGUGAAAUGCGCAGAGAUAUGGAGGAACACCAGUGGCGAAGGCGACUUUCUGGUCUGUAACUGACGCUGAUGUGCGAAAGCGUGGGGAUCAAACAGGAUUAGAUACCCUGGUAGUCCACGCCGUAAACGAUGAGUGCUAAGUGUUAGGGGGUUUCCGCCCCUUAGUGCUGCAGCUAACGCAUUAAGCACUCCGCCUGGGGAGUACGACCGCAAGGUUGAAACUCAAAGGAAUUGACGGGGACCCGCACAAGCGGUGGAGCAUGUGGUUUAAUUCGAAGCAACGCGAAGAACCUUACCAAAUCUUGACAUCCUUUGACAACUCUAGAGAUAGAGCUUUCCCCUUCGGGGGACAAAGUGACAGGUGGUGCAUGGUUGUCGUCAGCUCGUGUCGUGAGAUGUUGGGUUAAGUCCCGCAACGAGCGCAACCCUUAAGCUUAGUUGCCAUCAUUAAGUUGGGCACUCUAAGUUGACUGCCGGUGACAAACCGGAGGAAGGUGGGGAUGACGUCAAAUCAUCAUGCCCCUUAUGAUUUGGGCUACACACGUGCUACAAUGGACAAUACAAAGGGCAGCGAAACCGCGAGGUCAAGCAAAUCCCAUAAAGUUGUUCUCAGUUCGGAUUGUAGUCUGCAACUCGACUACAUGAAGCUGGAAUCGCUAGUAAUCGUAGAUCAGCAUGCUACGGUGAAUACGUUCCCGGGUCU